RNAcentral lists this long non-coding RNA (643 nucleotides) under Sorghum bicolor (sorghum). RNAcentral describes it as "long non-coding RNA (SBIC_LNC015584)". Lineage: Eukaryota; Viridiplantae; Streptophyta; Magnoliopsida; Poales; Poaceae. The record is from RNAcentral.
CGGGGUCAGAGAGAGUAAAGAGAGAGAGAGAGAGAGACGGGGCCCGGUCGUCAGCAAGUCCAGGGAGAAGGAAGGGGCGCGCCCGCGCGGCAGUGCUGGGCCGCGGGGUUGAUGGGCCUCGCGCGGGGGAAAAAGAAAAGGGAGGGGGUGUUGGGCCGGGAAGGCCAGGGGGAAAGCUGGGCUGGCUGGGGUUUUCUCCUUUGUUUUCUUUUUUUCUAUUUUUCUUUUUUUCUAAAGCCUUUUCCAAAGAGAGUUUUGAACAAAAAUAAAUGAAGUAAAGACAAACAAACAAAACAAAAGUGCUAUUCUCAGCAUGAAUGCAAGAACAUGUUCCUAACCUUAUGGUAAAUUUUAAUUUUGACAGAAUUAUUUAUUUGCUAUAUUUAAAUGCUCACACAAAUAUACUUAAUUAAAUCCAAUUAAUUCCUAGUAAUUGAAAUUCAAAUUUUGGGUGUUACAAAUUCUACCCCCUUAAAAGAAUCUCGUCCUCGAGAUUGAGCAGUGCAUAAACAAACCAUUGUGGAUAUGACCCUCUCCAAACAUCCUCUCUUUUCCAAGUUGCUUUACUUUGCACACUCUAAUGGUCCAACUUCUGGUAACUCUUUUUAUUUGUCCCUUCAGCUCUUCUAACUCAUGUAUCCCC